RNAcentral lists this ribosomal RNA (467 nucleotides) under uncultured bacterium. RNAcentral's name for it is "partial 16S ribosomal RNA". It matches the Rfam family "Bacterial small subunit ribosomal RNA", at positions 28 to 506 of the family's 1533-position model. The record is from RNAcentral.
GACGAACGCUGGCGGCGUGCUUAACACAUGCAAGUCGAACGGAAAGGCCCUGCUUUUGUGGGGUGCUCGAGUGGCGAACGGGUGAGUAACACGUGAGUAACCUGCCCUUGACUUUGGGAUAACUUCAGGAAACUGGGGCUAAUACCGGAUAGGAGCUCCUGCUGCAUGGUGGGGGUUGGAAAGUUUCGGCGGUUGGGGAUGGACUCGCGGCUUAUCAGCUUGUUGGUGGGGUAGUGGCUUACCAAGGCUUUGACGGGUAGCCGGCCUGAGAGGGUGACCGGCCACAUGGGGACUGAGAUGGGGCCCAGGCCCCUACGGGGGGCAGGGGGGGGGAAUUUUGCACAAGGGGGGGAAGCCUAAGGCAGCAACCCCGGGGGGGGGAGGACGGCCUUCGGGUGGAAAACCGCUUUGGCCUGUGACGAAGCGGGAGUGACGGUAAUGGGUAAAGAAGCACCGGCUAACUACGU